GGGCCCGCACAAGCGGUGGAGCAUGUGGUUUAAUUCGAUGAUACGCGAGGAACCUUACCAGGACUUAAAUGUAAGUUGCAUGAUUCAGAAAUGAAUCUUUCUUCGGACUACUUACAAGGUGCUGCAUGGUUGUCGUCAGCUCGUGCCGUGAGGUGUCAGGUUAAGUCCUAUAACGAGCGCAACCCCUAUCGUUAGUUGCCAUCAAGUAAAGUUGGGAACUCUAGCGAAACUGCCGGUGUAAACCGAGAGGAAGGUGGGGAUGACGUCAAAUCAUCACGGCCCUUACGUUCUGGGCUACACACGUGCUACAAUGGUCGGUACAGAAAGCAGCCACUAUGCGAAUAGGAGCUAAUCUUUAAAAACCCGAUCUCAGUUCGGAUCGCAGUCUGCAACUCGACUGCGUG
RNAcentral lists this ribosomal RNA (404 nucleotides) under uncultured bacterium. RNAcentral describes it as "bacterial SSU rRNA". It matches the Rfam family "Bacterial small subunit ribosomal RNA", at positions 917 to 1322 of the family's 1533-position model. The record is from RNAcentral.